This is a long non-coding RNA of Dermacentor albipictus, 2103 nucleotides long. RefSeq lists it as uncharacterized. The record is from RefSeq and is a predicted model, not a curated record. NCBI's taxonomy places the organism in Eukaryota, Metazoa, Arthropoda, Arachnida, Ixodida, Ixodidae.
UCUCAUCAUUCUCAAGUUUGUCCCUGCGUUAUUCGCCGUCACUACCACCUGACGAUGUUUACGCAUGCGCAGAUAACUCCUGGCUCGGACAUCACGUGGUUAUUUGUGAAUCAUUCACAAUAAGUUGGAAGUCCAGCGCUCGUCCCUGUCGUUUCAUCUGCGUCCGUGUUCCUUUGUGCUGCCGGCUUUUUGGAUUUUCUUAGCGACUAUACUUCCCACGCGAGUGACCGUGGGACCCUGUUUCGUUUCCGAGAGCGGCAGAGUCCAGCAACCAGAGAAGCGUGUACUGAAGCCAUGCAGCAGGAGGAGACGCUGUCGUACGGUGGCAGCUGGUUGCGGCCUCGAGCGAGCCUCGCCGUCCGGAGUGCACCAAUCAUGGAUUUUUCCAGGGCGGACUUGCAGGCCUGAGUGAUGAUAGGCUGCUUAACAAGCUUGGAAUUAGCGCUUUCAAACGGCAGCGGCGUCUUCUUGGUCCUCGGAUUGUAAGACCAACGUCUUUACAAUGUCUUUACAACAAUGUCUUCCGCGUCUAAAGGAAGCUUUAGGUUCAGGAACUGUAGGCAGUUAUCACUGGCCAACUCAUGGCUGAAGGUGAGACCUCCAGAGGCGGAGUUACAUAUUUCUAGGAUGCAAUUAGUGGUAUCAUCAAGGUGCGGACACCUGAACUAUGACUAGGCAAUCGUCCACAUAUCGGAAAAUUCAAGACACUUGUUGACCUACACUCGUGGUGUGUUGUGUGUUUCUUUCGCUGUCCUCGUUUUUCGCGCAGUUUUAACCUCCCUUCAAGUAUGAACCAACUAGCCCUCAAGAACGUCCUACUAAAGUAUGUUCCCGAACCCAAUAAGGCUUAAUUUCAUGUUCCCUUCUCAAUAUGACGGACAAUGUAAAUACUGUGAACAGCUAGAACCACUCCGGCACAGUGUCAUAGAUUGUAAACAAAAUCCAGCCUCACCUCCUCUACCCCCAAGAGCGCUGGGAGACGCUGCUGUCCAGCUCCCGCCUGUUCGACCAGAUAAUGUCGCCGCCAAGACGAUGCAUGGAUUCCCGUGAACCACUCUGAAGAUCGAGCUGUCGUGCUCAUUACAGGUGCUCUCUGCUUUCGACAACGUGGCACACCAUUCCAAAGAACCAGAGCAAUGCCAGCUGCUGAGCCGCGCACGUAUCGCUACAUUCCUUGCCAAUCGUAUACCAUUCGCAGCGAGGGACGCCCCCUAUUCGCACGGGCACACCACAAGGCCUCAUGUACUCAACGACGCCUUGAUUGGACCCCAGCUGAAUGUCCUCCCUGGUAUCAGCCACGCCCUGCUUGCGGAUGACAUUACUAUAUGGACAACAGAUGGCUCCGAGGGUGCAUGACAAGAUGGCUUGCAACGUGCAGUCAACAGCGUACAGAGCUGCGCCACACGCGGUGGACUGCAACAGUGUGCUCCAGAAAAAAUCGCAGCUCGUUAUCGUAACGCGAGGCGAGCCUGAUGCCACACGAUAUUGCACUCCACAAUCAACCAAAUCCCCCGGGUGAACAAGCUUUUGCACAUGCAGAUCGACUCAUGGCGGAGGGGGGGGCCAUGUAGGUACUUAGUAUGCAGUUUGUUACGCAUCACAAACAGAAAGCCUGGCUUCAAGGAGGUCCUGCGACUCAUACAUGCACUCGCGAGCCACCACUGUACGCCACAUCCUUCAACAAUUCGGAGAUCGCAUGGACACUUCUCGAGCACCUCUCAAUUAUUGCACCUAAUCUCCGCAGUCAUAUCCCACCCAUUCGAAGAAACACGCAUCCCUCGCAGCAUGCUGUUCGAAGACAAUCUAGGGCGCAAGGUUUUAUGCUCGUACAUGUGGAUCCCACCCUUUACGUCGGUUCCGUUUCUCAGCGCAUGCUAUGAGCGGGCUGGGAGGCAAUGAAAUUGUUGCGGCCAAUCACGGAAAGGGAGGAUGUGCACUAGUUGUAGUGCCGCAAUAAUGCGACUGCGUUAUUGUUGUUUUUAAGACACCCAAGGAUACGCCAGCGUGAAUAUAUCUACCAAGGCUCACCACGUAUGCUCCAGUCGCUGCAAGCACCCUAUAUAUACGAACACGAGUCGGUGUAUGCGGUGGCAAUCAGCGCGC